UCAAGUGUAUGUAGCUCCUCCCCAUUGGUUGUCACGUUUCUCAUCCUCUCCUUUGCAGUUUUUUAUUCUUUCCUUUUUUAUUUGAAAUUGAGAAAAGGGUCCAAGUGAAAUGAGGAGUAUUGAUUGAGAGUUAUUGAUUACUUGAAUCCAAUGGCCAAUUACAUUAGCUACUAUAGCACAUUUUUAGGGUUUUGAUUUUUUUAAUUAAUCCCCAAUCUACCCUUCGAUAUUUUGAGAUAAAAA
Molecule: long non-coding RNA, 243 nt
Filed under: Lathyrus oleraceus (garden pea)
Lineage: Eukaryota; Viridiplantae; Streptophyta; Magnoliopsida; Fabales; Fabaceae
Description: Pisum sativum (pea) long non-coding RNA (PSAT_LNC026260)
Source: RNAcentral